Long non-coding RNA from Naja naja (Indian cobra), 1911 nucleotides. NCBI's taxonomy places the organism in Eukaryota, Metazoa, Chordata, Lepidosauria, Squamata, Elapidae. The record is from Ensembl.
AUGUGGAUAGCCAUCAAUCAGUUUCAGAAAAUAAGUCAUCUGAAUUUGGUCUCCUCGGCAUGGAAUAUAGGAAAGUGCUUGUGUUUCCUCACCAGCGAAUGGAUAUUAUUGGUCUCCUCAUCUGCUAGGCGAAGAGAAGGGAAUGUCUCUCUUGUAGGCCUCCUUUCCACUCAAUUUUGUUUAGAAAAGCACAUGGAUGCUUUGCUCCAGGCAAGGGAGCAGAACAUCUCAGGAGCCAUUUUCAGACACCACUCAAUUUGCAGAACCAGGAUUAAAAAGGAAGAAAAAAAACUUUAAUGAGUGUGCCUUUACAGAUAUAGAUUGAUCUCUGGGGACCUGGCUGAAUCUGAUGUUCUCUAAAAAAAAAUUCAUGCUGUCCAAAAACAAAGCAAGAGGCAGCUAGAGAAUGUUAUUUCUUAUAUAUUUUUUAUUUUUAUUACAAUUGUUAUGUGAUAUUUGUUCUCAGUUGCAAGCUGGGCUUGCGUUGGAAAAAAAAUCUUUCUGUUUGUUUGAAAGAAGUCUGGAUUUUUAAAAUGACAAAUGUUUACUUGGAUUGUCUGUUUUUGCUUUAUUUUUAAGCUGGGCUUAUGAAGCCUAAAGAAUGUGUGUGUGUGUGUGUGUGUGUUGGUGUAUAUCUGUGCUUUUUGUUGUUGUUGUUGUUGCUACUACUUCUUGUGUAAAUAUAUGAUUGAUUACUGAUGUGCUAUUUGAAGAAAACCAGCAUUAAAUGCUAUCAACCACUGCUAGGAAGAGAACCUCUAAAAUUCAGCAUUUCUUGGCCAAAGCAAACUUAAGAUGCUGACUGUUGGCUGGCUCUUUGCAGAAAACCGAAGUUGGGUUGAAGCUGGAGUCAGUUCACACAGUGUGGAUGCUUAUUCCACUUUCACGGGUGCUAAAGAGGAAUGGCAGGUUUUGGAAAAAUAACACUUCAUAACUGCCAAGGAAAAUCUUUGCUGCACCAAAAGCUCUUGAGUUGACGAGUCCACUUCUUCCUGCAACGGAAUUCAAUUCUUAAGUUUUGAAGAGAGUUUAAUUUAGUUUAAUCUCGUAUUCUUCCUCUCUGCAAUGCACCAUGCGAAUGCAGAGACGCAAGAAAGAGCAAAAGAGAUACCACUUGAUGCAGAAAGCUCUUAGCCAAAAACUCUGCUGCCAAUCUUUUCAUCACCAAGAGACCACAUAUAGAGAUGGAUUUAUGUAUUUCAAGGAAAUCUGUGGGUAUUAUGAGCUCUUUAUAUCUUGUUCGUUUCCUGUUCAGCUAGAUUAUGGUUGGUUAUCGUAGUGAGUUCUUUUUGGCAAGGAUUGUGUGCACUAGCAUCACAACUUAUAUGACAAUGCAUUUCUCUCACUUGAGUUCCUCCCACUUCUUCCCAUAGGCUUUUGAGAAGGUACCAGUUGCGUGUUUCCUAUUGAAAUAUAUCUUGAAGAGGAAAAGUUUUAAAAAUAAAAAAUGUACAUCAAUGGAGAAUCGAAAGGAAAAAAUUGUUAUAUAUUCAUUUGUAAUUAUGUAAAACAAACAGGUUAGGUUUACGAUUGUAAAUUUUUUAAUUUCCCACACUGUAAUUUGCAAAAAUGGAAAAAAACAGAUUUUCAUAAUCUUUUUAUUUAUCUACCUUUCUUGCUACAAAAAACAACUCUUAUAAAAAGUUAAAUUUCCCUACCCCUUUAAAUAAAUGUUGAUUCGAAGUCAGAUGAUUUUUUUGCUUGCUGGCCUCUGUAUAUCUGUGUCUCUCCGUGUGUUUUCUCACCCUUCCUUUUCAGAUUGAAACUGUUGGAUGAAAAAAAAUGGAAUAAGCUGCUUUAUUUCGUACACAGAGGAAGGAAGCCCUGUGUGGCGACAGGAUAAAUGUAAAUACGUUUUUGUGCUGCACUGAAUAGAAAUGUAAUCUCCCCCACAAAAAAAUUGAAUUAAAG